Lontra canadensis (Northern American river otter) is the source of this 185-nucleotide long non-coding RNA. RefSeq lists it as uncharacterized. The transcript is spliced from 3 exons. Lineage: Eukaryota; Metazoa; Chordata; Mammalia; Carnivora; Mustelidae. The record is from RefSeq and is a predicted model, not a curated record.
GGAUGAGCAGGGAUGAUAUUCUCCUAGCUGUUCCCAUGGUGGACGGCAAAUGAUUGUUGAAAGGAUGAAUUAAAUAUUGCUUGGAGACACUACACAUCUACUCAAGGUGAAAGAGAAGAGGAUCAAGAAAAGGAUAACCACAUUCUUUUGGGAUCUGUGACAAGAGAGGCUGGUGUGGAGACUGG